UCUUUUUAAUUGCUUAAAAGUUCUAGACUAUGAAUUUCUUUGAAUCGGUGCUUUACUACCAAGCCUUAAACAUUUACUAGUUUCUCAGGGACAGGUGGGAAAUUAAUCAGUCUAAUUCUUCACAUUUAAAAAUCAAUAGCAUUUUGCAUAUUAUUAUUUAAAGUGUCAUGGUGAACUGGAAAAAUAAAAUAUGUAUAGCCCUUUUAUGCCAUCCUCACCCACUUUCCUAUAAAUUGUGGUAUUUUGUUUAUUUAGAUGAGAAAAAAAUUCUUAUGAGUGUAUCAAAUGGCCUGGGCUACCAUGACAAAAUACCAUAAAUGGGGUGACUUAACAGAAAUUUAUUUCUCACAAUUCUGGAGGCUGGUAAGUCCAAGAUCAAGGUGGCUGCAAGGUAGGUUUCAUUCUGAGACCUCUUCCCUUGGUUGUAGACGGCUGCCUUUUUUCACUGUGUGCUCACAUGACCUCUUUGUGCGAGCGUGUGGGAAGAAAGAAAGAGAUCUUUCUCUCUCUGCUUCUUCUUAUAAGGCCACAAAUGCUAUUGGGUUAGGUUUUAUGACCUGAUUCAACCUUAAUUACCUCCUAAAGACCUCAUUUCCAACUAUAGUCAUACUGGAGUUUAGGGUUUCAGCAUGUGAAUUUUAGGAGGACACAUGUAAAUCUAUAGUAAUGAGUGAGCUCUAUUUAAAGAAAAUGUGCUGUAUAAAAAUCUACAAAUACAAAAUCAUUCGCAUAAUAAAAGGGAAAGGAACUAGAUGCAUUCUCUGUUGGCCAGGCAUUUUAUAUCACAUUUCACCGUCCAAUAACUGUGAGAUGGUAUUAUUCCUGUUUUAUAGAUGAGGAUAAUGAAGCCAGAGAGAACGGUAAAGUUGGAAUUCAAACUUAGGUCUGUUUCUAGUCUUCGUGUUCUUGUCAUUGUUGACCCAUGAAAGGAGCCUUUAUUUCCAAAAGCGGUCACUCUGGAUCCCUUUAAAAAAUGUGAAUUUUGGCUGUCACUUCCACUCAGCUGUGAACAGUCCAAGUGCCAGGAUGUGUCUUUCUCACCCCUGUAUCACCUGUGCAUAGUCGAGCAGCACCUGGCACUAAGAAGGUGAUGGGCACAAAAAGACUAGUUGCUGAUCCUGAGUGAUGAUGUCAGUGUCUUCAUUUACAACCCUCUAAGCUCAGCUUCUAGGAGACUGCAAGGAUGGUCCGCACCAUCACAAAGCCAGUUCCUAAAAGGUAGACUUGAAUCUCACUUGAGAAAAAAAUACAGUUCCAUUAAUGGCAAGGAGAAUUUUUGGCUAUUGGUAUAAAACUAUGAUCACUGCCAAAACUGAAAGAAGUAUUAGAGAAAAACUUCCAUGGCAAUGACUUCCUGCAGAAAACUGGAUCCGACCUUCAACUGCUGGAUAAAUUACUCUCAUUUUUGAGAUGUAUGCGGAAACCACGUUGAUAUCUUGGUCACCUAGAAAAAUACAUACAUUAUUUUAACUACAGAAAAAAUAAUUAUCAAUUAACAGUAAGAAGGGGAAAGCCAAUGUACUUCUCGAAAGUCCUUUGUAAUUAGAUAUAAGAGGGAAGAUAUUCCUUUCGUAAGCAGGGAUAAAGUGUCACAGAAGACAAGAACAAUGGCGAUCACGAGUGCAAAGAAUCUGAUUGCUUUUUCAUGUUCCAGAUGUGAAAUGUGCCCAUUGUCCAAUAUUGGAUAAUUGGGGGGAAUAAAUUGUCUAAGCUCUGAGAUGACUCAAUAUAGAGGCUCUUGUCAUCAAUGCCUCUGAACCACUCCGGACUGAGGGCAUUAGGGAACUGGGUCAAUAUCAGUUAGCUGAGACAUAAAAGUGGCUUGUUUUUUUUGGCUUGCCUGCUCAGGAAUCAUUUUCACGUAACUGAUGCUGAGGCAAUGGAGUCUUCACUUGCAAAAGAGAGGAGAACCGACAAAUACUAAUCGCCUGUAACUACAACAAACCCCUAGGGACCUGACAGACUUUUAUUUAAAAAAUGCCACACUACAGGGCUUCCCUGGUGGUGCAGUGGUUGAGAGUCUGCCUGCCGAUACAAGGGACAUGGGUUUGUGCCCCGGUCUGGGAGGAUCCCACGUGCCGCGGAGCGGCUGGGCCCGUGAGCCAUGGCCGCUGAGCCUGCACCUCCGGAGCCUGUGCUCUGCAACGGGAGAGGCCACAGCAGUGAGAGGCCCGCGUACCGCCAAAAAAAAUUUUUGUGUGUGAUUAUGUGAGGUGACAGAUGUUAACUAGACUUAUUGUGGUGAGCAUUUCGCAAUGUAUACAAAUGUUGAAUCAUUAUGUUGUACACCUGAAACUAAUAUAAUGUUAUAUGUCAAUUAUACCUCAAUUAAAAACA
Long non-coding RNA from Globicephala melas (long-finned pilot whale), 2337 nucleotides. RefSeq lists it as uncharacterized. Lineage: Eukaryota; Metazoa; Chordata; Mammalia; Artiodactyla; Delphinidae. The record is from RefSeq and is a predicted model, not a curated record.